GUUUUGUAGUAAUUUUGAUGCAUUGUAAGUUGUGUUUUAAAUUAAGUGGCUAGGUGGAACAAUUGUCAUUUAAUAUGUUUCAGUGGCUUAGGGAGUUGUAUUUGCAUUGAUGAAGAUGUUUUGGCACACUAGUAUAUUAGGGAGGGAGUUAGAUAUGCUAAAGGAGACAAUUUGGAAUUAUAAUUUUAUGGUAACAAAGAAUUGAGCAUUGCUCUUCUAUCAUUUUUCUGUCAAGCCUCGUGUGUUUUCUGACAUCUCCUCUAUCUCUUUGUCGUUCUGCAUUAUUUGGUAUCAGAGCUUCGCUACUCUCUUUGGGUUGCUUCCGCGCUAUUUAUCUAAAUGGCAGCGAUGGAAGGUAGAGGAAGGCGUGGUAACCAAGAGCCUGGAGAUCUAAGAGUUGAAAGAGUUGACGAAAUUCAAGAGCUGCAACUAGAACUCGAGUUGCUUGCCUUGCGAAUUGAACGCCUAGAAGCUCGAAGGAAGCAUGGUGGAUCAAAACGCAAGAAGCACAACCAACGAUGGUGGACUACCCAAAUGUCAAGGUUUGGUAGUUGGCUUAAAGAUGCUAGGUCUUGCACCAUCAGAUGCGAAUAUGAUAAGGUGAACCCAAAUACUUAUCAAAAUGAACAAAUGGUGGUGCCUAAAGUUUCAGAUUUGAAGGUAACCCCAUCAGUGUCACUUAUCUUUGAAAAUGAGUUUGAUAAUGAUGAAUUGGGCUAUACUUAUGAUUGUACCUUACCACCUAUCUAUGAUGAAUAUCAUGAAGAUGGAGAUACAUGUCCAAAAAAAUAGGUCACAAAUGAAUCUCUUCAUCACAACAAGCUGGGUUAUUCAUCAAUUGAUAUAUCUCAUGCUAGCGAAUCAGUUUCUCUGCACAAUUUCAUGUCUUGCUCAAAGGGGGAUCCCGAAGCAAAAGGUUAUGAUGUCUUCUUGGUUCAUGGGAGAGAUGGAACAAUGAGUGCGGACUUGAUUCCCUGUAAUAUUAUUUCCCUGGAUGCUUCAAACAUUACAAAUUAUACUACUUAUUUGCCUACAGUUGAGGAAAAGGUUCCUAACUUUCAGUUUUAUGAUUCCAUUUGGUAUGACUGUAUCUAUGGAUUCAUCAACAACUAUUUGAAUGCAAGGAAAGAGUUAAUUAUGAUUUUGAAGCCUUAUAUCUUUCGUGAAAAGUUAUGUAGGUUACUACAAUUUUGGGAAAGAAUGAAUCUUUGUUUCUGCCAUGCAAGUAAUAUUUUUGUUAGUUCGAAGAAGAAAAGAAAGAGAAGUGAGGCAACGUGGUUUCUAAACUCGGCGAUUUGGAAAGAGCUUGGAUUGAAAUUAGUGAACUCUUGGACGAGUUCUUUCUCACUCGGAGAGUCUAAUGUAGUGAAUAAGGAGUUUAUUCAAUGGGGCUUUUGGUAUUUUGGUGUUCAUCCAUUCCGUUAAUUAUUAAUUUGAGAUUCAUGUAUCUUAGGUUGUGAUUUAAUGUUUUGUAGUAAUUUUGAUGCAUUGUAAGUUGUGUUUUAAAUUAAGUGGCUAGGUGGAACAAUUGUCAUUUAAUAUGUUUCAGUGGCUUAGGGAGUUGUAUUUGCAUUGAUGAAGAUGUUUUGGCACACUAGUAUAUUAGGGAGGGAGUUUGAUAUGCUAAAGGAGACAAUUUGGAAUUAUAAUUUUAUGGUAACAAAGAAUUGAGCAUUGCUCUUCUAUCAUUUUUCUGUCAAGCCUUGUGUGUUUUCUGACAUCUCCUCUAUCUCUUUGUCGUUCUGCAUUAAUUGGAGACCUUAUUUGAGACACCAUUGGCGACUCCGAUUGAAUCGGUUGCACAAAAUAAAUAAACAACAAGGUUUGUUGGUAAGAAGGCUGCUAAGAAAAAAGUUGGAAGAGGGAAUUCUUUGAAUAAUGAUUAUUCAAAAUUAGUUGAUGAAUUGGCUGGCCAACAUGCACUGCAUAUGGAACAGGACAAGUUAACGUAUGAGCAAGACAAGGUUAGAGAUGAAGUAAAGGUGAGAGAAAGGGAGUUGAAUAUAUAGGCAAGAAAGACAAGAGGAGAAUGAUCGGAUAUCACAUCCGACACCUUGAUGAUUAGUCUCCUAACUUCAAAUCGUUUUUUGAGAAGUGAAAAAAUCGCAUCAUGAGAAGAAGGUUUUUUGCGGACUCCAAGGGAAGAUGGACCAAGACACACUGAUUUUAUCCCCUAGUUUAAAUUAAUUAUGUUUGUUGUAGUGCUACGAUUUUCUGUUUAUUUGAAAUUAUUUAUUGGAAUUAGACUUUAUUUGAGAAAUAAUGACAUGUAGGGGAUAAUGCUAAGAAAACAUAAAUAAAAAUAACAAUAAAUAUAUUGGUGAAUAGUAGUCGCUAUUUUCCUUAUGCUUCCUCAUAGACGAGUGGACUUGUACGAAGGCAAUUACUGUUAGAGUGAAUAGUAAGGGCAAUGCUCUCAAUGACCCUUGCCUUCCACUAAGAGCAUCUCCACCGCUAGUGGAAGUCAAUGGCAAUUGGAGGGCAAUGAUCCUCAGUAUUCAUUCUAAACAGUAUUUGUCUUUGUGCAAGUUCAUCAGUUUGGAAGGAGGAAGGGCAAGACAAAUGCAAUUACUAUUCACAAAUAUAUAUUUUUAAUGUUUUCUUCGUCUUAUCCCCACAUAUCAUUAUGUCUGUAAAUUUUUGAGUAAUUUUAAAUAUUUAAUUUGCAAAUGUUUUGAACUUUGUAAGAAAUUUAAAGUUUAUAAGUUUUUUGAAUUUAUGAAAUAAUUUUUAAAUUUUUAUGUUUUUUGAGAAUUAGAUUUAAUCCUAAAUUUUUUUGAAAUCUAAGGCCCACAAAGAGCAACGUGGCAGGCUGCAACAUUCAAAAGUCUGAUGGGCUUCACGUGGUUUUGGGGUUUUUUUUUUGGGGUGAGGGAGAGGGGGGGGGGGUCCCAUGCCUUGUCUGCUGGGUUUCACUUGGACCCAACCUCUUGCAAUUAUUGAAGGAGUUUUGUUUUGUUUUUUUUUGUCAAUAUAUUGAAAGGCGUAUUUGACUUCAACCCAAUUGUCUCCCUGUUUUUUUUUUUUUUUU
RNAcentral lists this long non-coding RNA (3031 nucleotides) under Malus domestica (apple). RNAcentral describes it as "long non-coding RNA (MDOM_LNC009438)". The record is from RNAcentral. Lineage: Eukaryota; Viridiplantae; Streptophyta; Magnoliopsida; Rosales; Rosaceae.